Molecule: RNA transcript, 7965 nt
Organism: Homo sapiens (human)
Lineage: Eukaryota; Metazoa; Chordata; Mammalia; Primates; Hominidae
Gene: LNPK
Gene name: lunapark, ER junction formation factor
Exons: 15
Source: RefSeq, marked validated
GACAGAGCCUCAAGCACUCCUGGGGACCGGGCUGACUUUUCUCCACUGGCUUGGUUGGGAACUGGCUUCUUCGGAGCUGUGUAGUCUUAAUUUGCUUUGCUGCUGGCUGGCUGACAGCUGAUGGGGGACUCCUCAGGACGGACUCCCUUCCAGAUGCACCCAUCUCCAUCCUUCUCAACUCCCCAACCUUUGUCCUCCCCACUCUUCGCUCGCGCGGCGGUCUGAGACCACCAGGACCAGUUUCAGGGGUUUCCUUCUCCAGCGAGACUUGGCAGAACAGGCUUUAAAAGCAAAGGAGGCAGCGGAAGACUGUGAAUUCCUUUGGACAAUUGAUGAUAUUUAUCAUUGUGCCCAGUUUCUACAAAUAAAAGAUGGGUGGAUUAUUUUCUCGAUGGAGGGUUGAACCAUAUGAAAUUGCCAGUAUUCAACUGCUUGGACUUAGCAAAAUGUCAGUUUCAUAUGGUUAACCCUAAUGUUAACAACUCUUAUGGAAACUACAAUGAACUGAUAUUCAUUACCCUCUUGGAUUGUUGAGUAUGUAAUUGACAAAACCUUCAACUGUAGAAGUUCUAGAAAGUAUAGAUAAGGAAAUUCAAGCAUUGGAAGAAUUUAGGGAAAAAAAUCAGAGAUUACAAAAAUUAUGGGUUGGAAGAUUAAUUCUGUAUUCCUCAGUUCUCUAUCUGUUUACAUGCUUAAUUGUAUAUUUGUGGUAUCUUCCUGAUGAAUUUACAGCAAGACUUGCCAUGACACUCCCAUUUUUUGCUUUUCCAUUGAUCAUCUGGAGCAUAAGAACAGUAAUUAUUUUCUUCUUUUCCAAGAGAACAGAAAGAAAUAAUGAAGCAUUGGAUGAUUUAAAAUCCCAGAGGAAAAAAAUACUUGAAGAAGUCAUGGAAAAAGAAACUUACAAGACGGCUAAAUUAAUUCUUGAAAGGUUUGAUCCGGACUCAAAGAAAGCAAAGGAGUGUGAGCCGCCAUCUGCUGGAGCAGCUGUAACUGCAAGACCUGGACAAGAGAUUCGUCAGCGAACUGCAGCUCAAAGAAACCUUUCUCCAACACCAGCAAGCCCUAACCAGGGCCCUCCUCCACAAGUUCCAGUAUCUCCUGGACCACCAAAGGACAGUUCUGCCCCUGGUGGACCCCCAGAAAGGACUGUUACUCCAGCCCUAUCAUCAAAUGUGUUACCAAGACAUCUUGGAUCCCCUGCUACUUCAGUGCCUGGAAUGGGUCUUCAUCCUCCAGGUCCACCUUUAGCAAGACCUAUUCUCCCCCGAGAACGAGGUGCUUUGGAUAGAAUUGUUGAAUAUUUGGUUGGUGAUGGUCCACAAAACAGGUAUGCACUUAUAUGUCAGCAGUGUUUUUCUCAUAAUGGCAUGGCUUUGAAGGAAGAAUUUGAAUACAUUGCUUUUCGAUGUGCCUACUGUUUUUUCUUGAACCCUGCAAGAAAAACCAGACCUCAGGCUCCAAGACUUCCUGAGUUUAGUUUUGAGAAGAGGCAGGUGGUGGAAGGUUCAAGUUCAGUUGGUCCCUUGCCAUCAGGAAGUGUGCUUUCAUCAGACAACCAGUUUAAUGAAGUACAGUAUUGAGGCAGUCUGUCAGACAGAAUAUGACAAACUAUGUGGGCCUGUUUUCACUUAAACAUGUUUAUUGAAUCUUUAGAACACGAUGUUCUUGAUGAUAAUACAGAGCAGACAGAUGACAAAAUACCAGCUACAGAACAGACAAACCAAGUGAUUGAAAAAGCAUCUGACUCAGAGGAACCAGAGGAGAAACAAGAGACUGAGAAUGAGGAAGCCUCAGUGAUUGAAACCAACUCCACAGUUCCUGGAGCUGAUUCUAUUCCUGAUCCUGAACUAAGUGGAGAAUCUUUGACGGCAGAGUAGUAAAUGCUUCCACGUGCCUUCAACUGGAUAUUUAUAGUCUUACUGAUGUCAGUUAUUGCUUUUUCGGUGGCACUUACUUUUUUUGCCCCUCUAAGGGUAUGCUUGUGUAUCAUUUGAAUUCAGAUUGCCUAGCUAUUUGAACAUCUCAAAGUUAUAUAUACUGGGUAUUAAAAUUAAAAGCAAGUUAUAUCAGUGAAGUAAGAUCCUUUUGAAUGUACAAAGACCCACACUAUUGAGACAGCUUUUAGAUACUUUUUUGUCCAUUCUAAAAGUAAGCAAACAUGAUUGCCUUCUUGUUUUCUGUAUGUAUAACCCGUAAAUAUCCAUUUUGACAUAGGAAGAACUUUGGUUAAGAGUAAGUUCUCUAAUUGUGUUUGUUUUAAGGAAUGAAACUUGGUUAAGAUUUUGACUACUUCAUUAUUAAAAAUUGAUAGAAUUUUAGCUCCUGAGAUAUUUACAACUGGGAGAAAUGUCUAUUUAGGUGUUUACAUUAAGCGGUAUGAAAGUUGUUACCACAUAGGCACUGGUACGAAUUCUCAAUAAGAAUGCAGUGGAACAGUUAAGUAGAACUGUAACUACGUUGGCACUGGUACGAAUUCUCAGUGAGAAUGCAAUGAAACAGUCAACUGCAGUGUUUCUUUUUGAUGUCUUUUAUUUUACAACUGGGCCAAAGGCACAUUAUGUAUAUAAUUAGUUUAUAUUUACACACUAGCAUAUAGGAAAUAUUUCUGCACUUGACCCUAUUUGAAUUCUGAGCAUUAUUUAUAAGUAUAAAAUGAUGAUAUAUAAGUGAAUUUUGUGCUCUUGUUUGUAUUUUAUUAAGGAAAAUGAAAAUAAUCUGGCAUCAGUUUCAUUUUGCUAAAUAUCUAGUCUUCUUCAAACAGUAUCUUGGUGGGUGACUUGGCUACCUGAAAAAUCUUAGGAGGAAUAGCUCACAAUACAAUAAAUCUGUAGAUUCUGCUUAGAGCAAAUUAUGGUACUUUUAUUCAGACUUGUUUCCUUUCUAGUUAACAGAAAUAGUGACAUUUAGAGGUUUUAAUCAGAAGUUAGGUUUUUCUGAUUCAGGAACAUCGUAGGCCAGCCAUUUGUAAUUUUUAACUUUGAGAAACAAAUUUUGUGAGAAUAGGUAGUGGGUUGCUGGUAGUUAAUUGGAUUUAAUAUUUGUAUUAAGGAUUAACUGGAAAAAAUGUGUCUCAGUGCUAAUUCUUGGACCUUUAAUACAGUGUGCUUAUCUGUUACGGCCUCCUUUUAUCUCUCUUCUCCAAUAUUAAAAAAAAUGGAAAUCAAAUUAUUAUGCUGAAGGGAAAAAUAUACCUGUAUAAGAAUGGUGUGUUUGGCUAAUGUUUCUAAGUUGCACACAGUUUAUUAACAACUGAACAAAACAUUUUUAUCAUUUAAAAAUCUAUUUUUAUGAUUUAAUAUCUCAUAUGUGACAGUUUUUUUUUUUUUUUUUUUUUGGAACUCAAUCUGUUAACAGUCUGGGACAUCCGGUAUAGUAACCAGAGUUUUUGAGCCUGCCGUAUUGGGCUUAAAUUUCAGGUCUGUAGUCUUGGGCAAGUCACCUAUAAACUCACUGAGAUUAUUUUUUCAUCUGUAAAAUGGGAAGAGUUAUGUUUAUUUUUGAAGGGUAUUAGGAUAAUUAAAAAUAAUGUAAUGUGCCUAGCACACUACCUGAAAACGAUGGCAUUUGUUCUUAUUAAUGUCUUUAAAAUAUGCAAGGACCAUAAGUUUUUCCUCUUGCAGAUGAGGAAAGUAAAAAAUAAUACGAACAUGUAAUUCAGCUUCUCAGAUUCAAGCCAAUGUUUUUUGCAUCAACUUUUCUAUAUUGUAUGUAUGUAUAUAAAUACAUAGAUUAAGGAAAUAGGAAACUGAAACUCUGUGGAAUAUAAACUUUUUAAAAAUAAUUUCAUCAGGUUUUUUGUAUGUUACUGACCCAUAUGGAUUUUAGUAACAUCUUGCUUAGUCAUGUUGUUAUAAAACAUUCAAAUUCUGAUAUACAUUGCUUGAAAAUGAGUGAGUACCUCAGAGAAAUUUGAUAGACUCAAACAGAUAGUAUGAGAAAUAUCUUUGAAAGAAAUAUGGAGGAAGGUUAAAAGGGGAUUAGUAAAAUUAAUGCGAUAGGUAACAUGUUUGUAACCAUAUAGUAUCCUUUUAGAUACAAAAGCUUAUUUUCAUUAUUAUUAUAAUAAACAGUUAAUGGUUGAAACUUAGUAAAAUGUCCUAUUUCUGAUUAUUAAGACUAGUAUAAAUGAGAAAAUCCAAGCUAUUAAGUACCAUUAGCUACAGUGAUCUUAGCUUCCUUGCUUACAAUUGUUCAGUGGGUCAUCUAAAUUCUUCUAUGUCCUGAGCAUGAUCUACAAACAUGGUCUAGCUUCUGUCUCUCCGUCUUCCCGCCAUCAUUGUGCUGUAGCCAUAUGGAACUCCUUUCAGUUCUCUGACCAUGCCCUUUCCUGCCUCAGAUUUCAGCUUAAAUUUUGCCUCCUCAGAGAGAUGCCUUCCCAAACUCCCCAUCUGAAGCUGGCCUCUGCCUUUUACUCCCUAUCAUGUCACUCUCUGCUCACCAUCCUUAUCACAAUGUGUAUUUGAUUUGUUUGCUAGUUUACUGUCUUCACAACAUAAUGUCCGUUUGUGCAAGGGUCUUAUUUUUCUUAUUCAUGUCUGUAUCUCAAGGGUCUAGCACAAUGCUUGAUGCAUAUUGUGUGAAUAAAUACUUUGUUGCCAAAUCCAGUGAAAACUCUCAGUUCUUGUUUCACUGCUUGGCAGUAUUGACAUUGAAUAUUCUCUGAGAUACUUUUUUUCUUUUGGCUUUUCAUAUAUCACACUAUUAUUCUCUUAUUUCUCUGGCCUCUUGCUCUCAACGUCCUGUAAGUGUUGGUGUUCCUUAAGUUCUACCUAGUGUCAUCAUUUCUUCAUUCUGCAUAUUCUUUCCCUAGGGUUUCUUCCCAACACCAAAGGACUUACCAUCUGUCUCUCUGAAUCUCAGAUCUCCAGCUUUGAUCUGUUUCCUUUACUUUAGAGCUAUAUAUUUGCCUGCCUACUGGCCUGUCUCUCACAAUCCAUAUAUUCAAGAAUGAACACUAUACUUUGCUUCAAACCUUCAGAACAUUCAAACCGUUUAUGUUUCUCAUCUAAUCAAAUAGAGUUACUCUCUAAGCCAGAAGCUGUAAACUCAUCUCUUUUCCCUUUAUUCAAGCUGUCAAUUUUUGUCUCCUAAACAUCUUCUAGUUAUAUUCUCAUUUCUCUGUUCACAUUGCAUUAAUAAUGAUGAUAAACAUUUGCAUUCUUAUUCUGUGCCAGGCAACAUGCUAACUGCUGUAUAUAUAUUAUUAUAUUUGUACUUUGGCAAGAAUCCUGUGAAGAUUUUUAUCUUUGGACUACUAGAAGAGAAAGCUGAGUUGUAGAGAGAGUAUGUAUUUAAGUCCGUUUGGGCUGCUAUAACAGAAUACCACAGACUGGGUAACGUGAUGAACAAAAAUUUAUUUGGCUCACAGUUCUGGAACCUGGGAAAUCCAAAGGCAUGAUGCUAGCAUCUGGUGAGGGCCUUUGUGCUUUGUCAUCCCAUGCCAGAAGGCAGAAGGGUAAGAGAGGGCAAGAGUGAGCAAGAGAUGGAAGUUGCAACCUCAAGCUCUUUUAUAAUGAGCAUUAAUCCAUUCAUGAGGGCUUCACCCUCAUGACCUAAACAUCUCCAUUAGGCUCCACCUUCCAAUGCAACAGUUAGCAUAAGUUUUCAACACAUGCUUUUUGUAGCAUUCAAACCAUAGCAGGAAGCAACUUUGCUUAAAAUUGUAUACCUGGUAAGUGGAAAAAGAGGGAUUUGAAUAUAGGCAAAUGACUUCAGAGGAUUUACUCUUAAUUUCUGUUGUACUGCCUUCUAAUCUUGGCCUCCAUCAUUUCAGAUUACCAAAGCUGUCUCUUAACUGGUUUCUUUGUCUCCAACCUUGUGCACUUGCUAUCUAUUCUGUGUGCUGCAGCCUGAGUUUUUAAAAAACAGAAAAUGAGGGGCCAGGUGUGGUGGUGGCUCACGCCUGUAAUCCCAGCAAGUUGGGAGGCUGAGGCGGGCAGAUCAUCUGGGGUCAGGAGUUCGAGACCAGCCUGACCAACGUGGAGAAACACUAUCUCUACUAAAAAUACAAAAUUAGCCAGGCGUGGUGGUGCAUGCCUGUAAUCCUAGCUACUCAGGAGCCUGAGGCAGGAGAAUUGCUUGAACACGGGAGGCAGAGGUUGCAGUGAGCAGAGAUUGCGCCAUUGUACUCCAGCCUGGGCAACAAGAGUGAAACUCCAUCUCAAAAAAAAAAAAGAAAGAAAGAAAAUGAAUCUGCCACGCCAUUGCUUAGACCCUUUAAUGACUCUUGAGUGUUCUUGGGAUGAGGUCCAAAUUUACUAAUAAGGCCUGCAAAGCCCUGUGUAAUUUUGCUCCUAGUUAUGGCUGGCAUCUGCACCACAACUACAGCCACUGCCACCUCCCCCUGCCACACACACAUUUUAAAAGUAACAAUAGUAGUGUUUUCUGUGUUUUGCAUAUGCAGUCUUUUCUCAUCUCCCAGCCUUCUUGAGCUUUUCCUCUGCCUGAGAUACGCUCCCACUCACAUAGACAUUGGGGGCACUAAAUAAAAAUAGCUGUUUAAUUGAAUUGGAAUCGUUCCACUUGGAACCCAAGUUUGGAAAUUUUGCUACUUCUUGUUAAGCUAGGCCUUUUAUUCUUGAAGUUGCUAUUUCUCAUACAAACUCAUUUUAUGCAUUAGACACACAGUCACUAUUGUUAUGGAGAACAUAGUUGUAUCAGAAGAGGUAUAGCUUUGGGUGUGGAUGUGCGUGUGUCAGGGGAAAGAUAUUCUGAUUAUAUGAUGAUUUUCAUAAAAUAUAGUAUGCUGAGUUUCCGAAAAUCCUAAAUGACUUAGAAAUGGUGCUAUAUGUGGUUUGUUUGACCCCUGCAAAUCUCAUGUUGAAAUUUGAUCCCCAUUGCUGGAGGUGUUUUGAGCAUGGAGCGGAUCCCUCAUGAAUGUCUUGGCGUUGUCCUUGCAGUAAUGAGUUCUUGCUCUAUUUUUCCUCCCCUGGAAGCUGAUUGUUUAAAAGAGCCUGGUAUCCUCCCUCCCUUUCUUCUUUGCUUCCUCUCUCUUGCUGUGUGAUCUCUGCACACACCAGCUCCCCUUUGCUUUCUGCCAUGAGUGGUCUGAGGCUCUCACCAGAAGCCAAGCAGAGGCUGGCACCAUGCUUCUAGUACAGCCUGCAGAACUGUAAGCCAAAUAAACUUCUUCUUUGUUUUUUUUUUUUGUUUGUUUUGUUUUUUUUUCAGUAAAUUACCCAGCCUCAGGUAUUCCUUAACAACACAAAUGGGCUAAGACACAGGGUCAUAGGGAUAGCAGGCACCUGAGCCAAGCCAGAACUUAGAUCUCAACUGUUAAUGCAGGAUGAUUUGUAUUGAACCAUGAAUUUUACACUGCCUCUCAAUGUUGGUGUCAGCAUUUAAGGUUAUUUAAAAAAUACAACCUGAAGGUUACAUAAAGUUUCAUUUAAAAAAUAAGACCUUAUAAGUCUACUUUUAUUUCCAGUGGACAGCAACUACUUAAUCGUCUUAAAACUUUCUUCUUACAAUAUUACUUUACAAUAUUACCUGUUGGAUUUAUUAUCUGUGUACAAAUCAGUUAGUUGAAGGGCCAAAGAAUAAAGGCAUUUUGUGAAUUAUGAAUAGCUAUUUUGAAAUGGUCAUGGAGACUAGCUACUCUAGAAAAUUGGGAGAAUAUACUGUAUUAAGUUACUAUCUGGUAUAACUUCAAUUAAUUGUGAAAAUUGUAGCAGAGAUCUAGAUAUAGUUUAUGAACUUCUAAAGAGACAUUAAAGGGAAUUCAAGUACUUGUGUAAAGAUGAACCAAGGUAGAGAUGAUUGUGAAUUGGUGAUCUGCUGUAUGUUACAGUUAUGUAAUUUGACUUGUUUCAAAAUUAUUAAAGUUUUAAGUGUAUGCAUUCUACUGGUCAAUAAGUAAAUAUAUUCAGGCUCUGAAUGUAGACAGAUAAAUAUAUAAAUAUAGAAAGUACAUUUGUUAGAAUACAAACAAGAAUAAAAAUUGAGUACAGAAUGAAAACCUUA